This 711-nucleotide ribosomal RNA is filed under the name Enterococcus hirae. RNAcentral's name for it is "bacterial SSU rRNA". It matches the Rfam family "Bacterial small subunit ribosomal RNA", at positions 814 to 1533 of the family's 1533-position model. Lineage: Bacteria; Bacillati; Bacillota; Bacilli; Lactobacillales; Enterococcaceae. The record is from RNAcentral.
UGCUAAGUGUUGGAGGGUUUCCGCCCUUCAGUGCUGCAGCUAACGCAUUAAGCACUCCGCCUGGGGAGUACGACCGCAAGGUUGAAACUCAAAGGAAUUGACGGGGGCCCGCACAAGCGGUGGAGCAUGUGGUUUAAUUCGAAGCAACGCGAAGAACCUUACCAGGUCUUGACAUCCUUUGACCACUCUAGAGAUAGAGCUUCCCCUUCGGGGGCAAAGUGACAGGUGGUGCAUGGUUGUCGUCAGCUCGUGUCGUGAGAUGUUGGGUUAAGUCCCGCAACGAGCGCAACCCUUAUUGUUAGUUGCCAUCAUUUAGUUGGGCACUCUAGCAAGACUGCCGGUGACAAACCGGAGGAAGGUGGGGAUGACGUCAAAUCAUCAUGCCCCUUAUGACCUGGGCUACACACGUGCUACAAUGGGAAGUACAACGAGUCGCAAAGUCGCGAGGCUAAGCUAAUCUCUUAAAGCUUCUCUCAGUUCGGAUUGUAGGCUGCAACUCGCCUACAUGAAGCCGGAAUCGCUAGUAAUCGCGGAUCAGCACGCCGCGGUGAAUACGUUCCCGGGCCUUGUACACACCGCCCGUCACACCACGAGAGUUUGUAACACCCGAAGUCGGUGAGGUAACCUUUUGGAGCCAGCCGCCUAAGGUGGGAUAGAUGAUUGGGGUGAAGUCGUAACAAGGUUUACCCGUAAGCGUGAGUAUGUAAAAAA